RNAcentral lists this unclassified non-coding RNA (230 nucleotides) under Hevea brasiliensis (rubber tree). Lineage: Eukaryota; Viridiplantae; Streptophyta; Magnoliopsida; Malpighiales; Euphorbiaceae. The record is from RNAcentral.
UGACCAAGUUCUUGUGCUGAAGUUUUAACAACAGUUUCACCUCAUUAGUGAAUUCUCUCAGUCCUUGUCUUGAAUUUAAUGAAAGCUUCUUCACAGCAACUUCUUGACCAUUUGGUAUCAACCCCCUGUACACGGGACCGAAUCCACCAUGACCAAGCUGAUUCAAGUCGGAGAAAAAAUUGGUAGCUAUUUGAAGCGUACGGAGGUCGAAGAAGAGGUCAUGAGUUUCA